This 440-nucleotide ribosomal RNA is filed under the name uncultured bacterium. RNAcentral's name for it is "partial 16S ribosomal RNA". It matches the Rfam family "Bacterial small subunit ribosomal RNA", at positions 338 to 795 of the family's 1533-position model. The record is from RNAcentral.
CCUACGGGCGGCUGCAGUGGGGAAUCUUGCACAAUGGGGGAAACCCUGAUGCAGCAACGCCGCGUGAGUGAAGAAGUAUUUCGGUAUGUAAAGCUCUAUCAGCAGGGAAGAAGAUGACGGUACCUGAGUAAGAUGCCCCGGCCAACUACGUGCCAGCAGCCGCGGUAAUACGUAGGGGGCAAGCGUUCUCCGGAUUUACUGGGUGUAAAGGGAGCGUAGACGGUGAGGCAAGUCUGAAGUGAAAGCCCGGGGCUCAACCCCGGGACUGCUUUAGAAACUGACGAACUGGAGUGCUGGAGAGGAAAGCGGAAUUCCUAGUGUAGCGGUGAAAUGCGUAGAUAUUAGGAAGAACACCAGUGGCGAAGGCGGCUCGCUGGACAGUAACUGACGUUGAGGCUCGAAAGCGUGGGGAGCAAACAGGAUUAGAUACCCUAGUAGUC